GGCUGACCGAAGCUGCCUAUGGACUUCUCACGGUUCUGUCUUUCAAAAUAUUCAACAUGGCACUGAAUUUAGUUGUUAAGAUUCAUCCCGUUGUAUUAUUUCAAAUUGUCGACGCAUAUGAGCGACGAAAUGCCGAUUCACAUCGUGUUAUUGGUACCUUGCUAGGAACAUCUGACAAAGGUGUAGUGGAAGUCACGAAUUGCUUCUGCGUGCCACACAAGGAACAUGCGGACCAGGUGGAGGCAGAGCUAAAUUAUGCUAUGGAUGUUUAUGAGCUCAACCGGAGGGUCAAUGCCUCAGAAAACAUUGUUGGCUGGUGGGCGACGGGCAACGAGGUGACGAACCACUCGUCGGUGAUCCACGAGUACUACUCGCGCGAGUGCCGCGAGCCGGUGCACGUGACGCUGGACACGUCGCUGGCGGGCGCGCGCAUGGGGCUGCGCGCCUACGUGUGCGUGGCGCUGGGCGUGCCGCGCGGCAAGCAGGGCUGCAUGUUCACGCCCAUCGACGUGGGCCUCACCUACUACGAGCCCGAGAUCGUGGGCCUGCAGCUGUGCGACAAGACGGCGGGCGCGGGUGGGCGCGCGCGGGCCGUGGCGCCGCCCGGCGACCUGGCGCAGGUGGCGGAGGCGGCGGCGCGGCUGGGCACGCAGCUGGAGCACGUGCUGGGCUACGUGGAGGACGUGCUGGCGGAGCGCGCGGCGCCCAACAACGCGGUGGGGCGCGAGCUGCUGCAGCUGGUGAGCGCGCUGCCCGACCUGGCCUCCGCCUCGCUGGCCGACGCGCUGGCGGGCCAGGUCAAGGACCUGCUCAUGGUGAGUGCGUGCUCGGGCCGCCCGUGUAUCAUUUGUUUGCACAUACAACGCGGUGGGGCGCGAGCUGCUGCAGCUGGUGAGCGCGCUGCCCGACCUGGCCUCCGCCUCGCUGGCCGACGCGCUGGCGGGCCAGGUCAAGGACCUGCUCAUGGUGAGUGCGUGCUCGGGCCGCCCGUGUAUCAUUUGUUUGCACAUACAACGCGGUGGGGCGCGAGCUGCUGCAGCUGGUGAGCGCGCUGCCCGACCUGGCCUCCGCCUCGCUGGCCGACGCGCUGGCGGGCCAGGUCAAGGACCUGCUCAUGGUGAGUGCGUGCUCGGGCCGCCCGUGUAUCAUUUGUUUGCACAUACAACGCGGUGGGGCGCGAGCUGCUGCAGCUGGUGAGCGCGCUGCCCGACCUGGCCUCCGCCUCGCUGGCCGACGCGCUGGCGGGCCAGGUCAAGGACCUGCUCAUGGUGAGUGCGUGCUCGGGCCGCCCGUGUAUCAUUUGUUUGCACAUACAACGCGGUGGGGCGCGAGCUGCUGCAGCUGGUGAGCGCGCUGCCCGACCUGGCCUCCGCCUCGCUGGCCGACGCGCUGGCGGGCCAGGUCAAGGACCUGCUCAUGGUGAGUGCGUGCUCGGGCCGCCCGUGUAUCAUUUGUUUGCACAUACAACGCGGUGGGGCGCGAGCUGCUGCAGCUGGUGAGCGCGCUGCCCGACCUGGCCUCCGCCUCGCUGGCCGACGCGCUGGCGGGCCAGGUCAAGGACCUGCUCAUGGUGAGUGCGUGCUCGGGCCGCCCGUGUAUCAUUUGUUUGCACAUACAACGCGGUGGGGCGCGAGCUGCUGCAGCUGGUGAGCGCGCUGCCCGACCUGGCCUCCGCCUCGCUGGCCGACGCGCUGGCGGGCCAGGUCAAGGACCUGCUCAUGGUGAGUGCGUGCUCGGGCCGCCCGUGUAUCAUUUGUUUGCACAUACAACGCGGUGGGGCGCGAGCUGCUGCAGCUGGUGAGCGCGCUGCCCGACCUGGCCUCCGCCUCGCUGGCCGACGCGCUGGCGGGCCAGGUCAAGGACCUGCUCAUGGUGAGUGCGUGCUCGGGCCGCCCGUGUAUCAUUUGUUUGCACAUACAACGCGGUGGGGCGCGAGCUGCUGCAGCUGGUGAGCGCGCUGCCCGACCUGGCCUCCGCCUCGCUGGCCGACGCGCUGGCGGGCCAGGUCAAGGACCUGCUCAUGGUGAGUGCGUGCUCGGGCCGCCCGUGUAUCAUUUGUUUGCACAUACAACGCGGUGGGGCGCGAGCUGCUGCAGCUGGUGAGCGCGCUGCCCGACCUGGCCUCCGCCUCGCUGGCCGACGCGCUGGCGGGCCAGGUCAAGGACCUGCUCAUGGUGAGUGCGUGCUCGGGCCGCCCGUGUAUCAUUUGUUUGCACAUACAACGCGGUGGGGCGCGAGCUGCUGCAGCUGGUGAGCGCGCUGCCCGACCUGGCCUCCGCCUCGCUGGCCGACGCGCUGGCGGGCCAGGUCAAGGACCUGCUCAUGGUGAGUGCGUGCUCGGGCCGCCCGUGUAUCAUUUGUUUGCACAUACAACGCGGUGGGGCGCGAGCUGCUGCAGCUGGUGAGCGCGCUGCCCGACCUGGCCUCCGCCUCGCUGGCCGACGCGCUGGCGGGCCAGGUCAAGGACCUGCUCAUGGUGAGUGCGUGCUCGGGCCGCCCGUGUAUCAUUUGUUUGCACAUACAACGCGGUGGGGCGCGAGCUGCUGCAGCUGGUGAGCGCGCUGCCCGACCUGGCCUCCGCCUCGCUGGCCGACGCGCUGGCGGGCCAGGUCAAGGACCUGCUCAUGGUGAGUGCGUGCUCGGGCCGCCCGUGUAUCAUUUGUUUGCACAUACAACGCGGUGGGGCGCGAGCUGCUGCAGCUGGUGAGCGCGCUGCCCGACCUGGCCUCCGCCUCGCUGGCCGACGCGCUGGCGGGCCAGGUCAAGGACCUGCUCAUGGUGAGUGCGUGCUCGGGCCGCCCGUGUAUCAUUUGUUUGCACAUACAACGCGGUGGGGCGCGAGCUGCUGCAGCUGGUGAGCGCGCUGCCCGACCUGGCCUCCGCCUCGCUGGCCGACGCGCUGGCGGGCCAGGUCAAGGACCUGCUCAUGGUGAGUGCGUGCUCGGGCCGCCCGUGUAUCAUUUGUUUGCACAUACAACGCGGUGGGGCGCGAGCUGCUGCAGCUGGUGAGCGCGCUGCCCGACCUGGCCUCCGCCUCGCUGGCCGACGCGCUGGCGGGCCAGGUCAAGGACCUGCUCAUGGUGAGUGCGUGCUCGGGCCGCCCGUGUAUCAUUUGUUUGCACAUACAACGCGGUGGGGCGCGAGCUGCUGCAGCUGGUGAGCGCGCUGCCCGACCUGGCCUCCGCCUCGCUGGCCGACGCGCUGGCGGGCCAGGUCAAGGACCUGCUCAUGGUGAGUGCGUGCUCGGGCCGCCCGUGUAUCAUUUGUUUGCACAUACAACGCGGUGGGGCGCGAGCUGCUGCAGCUGGUGAGCGCGCUGCCCGACCUGGCCUCCGCCUCGCUGGCCGACGCGCUGGCGGGCCAGGUCAAGGACCUGCUCAUGGUGAGUGCGUGCUCGGGCCGCCCGUGUAUCAUUUGUUUGCACAUACAACGCGGUGGGGCGCGAGCUGCUGCAGCUGGUGAGCGCGCUGCCCGACCUGGCCUCCGCCUCGCUGGCCGACGCGCUGGCGGGCCAGGUCAAGGACCUGCUCAUGGUGAGUGCGUGCUCGGGCCGCCCGUGUAUCAUUUGUUUGCACAUACAACGCGGUGGGGCGCGAGCUGCUGCAGCUGGUGAGCGCGCUGCCCGACCUGGCCUCCGCCUCGCUGGCCGACGCGCUGGCGGGCCAGGUCAAGGACCUGCUCAUGGUGAGUGCGUGCUCGGGCCGCCCGUGUAUCAUUUGUUUGCACAUACAACGCGGUGGGGCGCGAGCUGCUGCAGCUGGUGAGCGCGCUGCCCGACCUGGCCUCCGCCUCGCUGGCCGACGCGCUGGCGGGCCAGGUCAAGGACCUGCUCAUGGUGAGUGCGUGCUCGGGCCGCCCGUGUAUCAUUUGUUUGCACAUACAACGCGGUGGGGCGCGAGCUGCUGCAGCUGGUGAGCGCGCUGCCCGACCUGGCCUCCGCCUCGCUGGCCGACGCGCUGGCGGGCCAGGUCAAGGACCUGCUCAUGGUGAGUGCGUGCUCGGGCCGCCCGUGUAUCAUUUGUUUGCACAUACAACGCGGUGGGGCGCGAGCUGCUGCAGCUGGUGAGCGCGCUGCCCGACCUGGCCUCCGCCUCGCUGGCCGACGCGCUGGCGGGCCAGGUCAAGGACCUGCUCAUGGUGAGUGCGUGCUCGGGCCGCCCGUGUAUCAUUUGUUUGCACAUACAACGCGGUGGGGCGCGAGCUGCUGCAGCUGGUGAGCGCGCUGCCCGACCUGGCCUCCGCCUCGCUGGCCGACGCGCUGGCGGGCCAGGUCAAGGACCUGCUCAUGGUGAGUGCGUGCUCGGGCCGCCCGUGUAUCAUUUGUUUGCACAUACAACGCGGUGGGGCGCGAGCUGCUGCAGCUGGUGAGCGCGCUGCCCGACCUGGCCUCCGCCUCGCUGGCCGACGCGCUGGCGGGCCAGGUCAAGGACCUGCUCAUGGUGAGUGCGUGCUCGGGCCGCCCGUGUAUCAUUUGUUUGCACAUACAACGCGGUGGGGCGCGAGCUGCUGCAGCUGGUGAGCGCGCUGCCCGACCUGGCCUCCGCCUCGCUGGCCGACGCGCUGGCGGGCCAGGUCAAGGACCUGCUCAUGGUGGUGACGCUCGCACAACUGAUCAAGACGCAGCUGCAGCUCAACGAGAAGCUCACGCUGCUCACAUCGCAGUGACACUGCUGGGCUGUCCCCAGCUGUCGCCGGUACUUGUUGAUCGUCGCCGCGUCCGCAGAAUCUUAGUUUAACCUCAUAAAAACUAAAUAAACUGAUUUUUACAA
Molecule: RNA transcript, 4769 nt
Organism: Melitaea cinxia (Glanville fritillary)
Lineage: Eukaryota; Metazoa; Arthropoda; Insecta; Lepidoptera; Nymphalidae
Gene: eIF3f1
Gene name: eukaryotic translation initiation factor 3 subunit F
Exons: 7
Source: RefSeq, a predicted model, not a curated record